Molecule: ribosomal RNA, 118 nt
Filed under: Oceanicaulis alexandrii
Lineage: Bacteria; Pseudomonadati; Pseudomonadota; Alphaproteobacteria; Maricaulales; Maricaulaceae
Source: RNAcentral
GACCGGGUGGUUAUAGCGAAGGCUCCACACCCGUUCCCAUCCCGAACACGGCCGUUAAGACCUUCUGCGCCAAUGGUACUAUGUCCUAAGGCAUGGGAGAGUAGGUCGCCGCCCGGUC